Molecule: ribosomal RNA, 252 nt
Filed under: uncultured bacterium
Lineage: Bacteria
Description: partial 16S ribosomal RNA
Rfam family: Bacterial small subunit ribosomal RNA
Source: RNAcentral
UACGUAGGUGGCAAGCGUUAUCCGGAAUUAUUGGGCGUAAAGAGUGAGCAGGUGGUUGUCUAAGUCUGAAGUCAAAUGCAGUGGCUUAACCACUGUUCGCUUCGGAAACUAGGCGACUAGAGUACGAGAGAGGUAUGUGGAAUUCCAUGUGUAGCGGUGAAAUGCGUAGAUAUAUGGAGGAACACCAGUGGCGAAGGCGGCAUACUAGCUCGAUACUGACACUCAGUCACGAAAGCGUGGGUAGCAAAUAGG